AGUCGAACGGUAACAGGAAGCAGCUUGCUGCUUCGCUGACGAGUGGCGGACGGGUGAGUAAUGUCUGGGAAGCUGCCUGAUGGAGGGGGAUAACUACUGGAAACGGUAGCUAAUACCGCAUAAUGUCGCAAGACCAAAGAGGGGGACCUUCGGGCCUCUUGCCAUCGGAUGUGCCCAGAUGGGAUUAGCUUGUUGGUGGGGUAACGGCUCACCAAGGCGACGAUCCCUAGCUGGUCUGAGAGGAUGACCAGCCACACUGGAACUGAGACACGGUCCAGACUCCUACGGGAGGCAGCAGUGGGGAAUAUUGCACAAUGGGCGCAAGCCUGAUGCAGCCAUGCCGCGUGUAUGAAGAAGGCCUUCGGGUUGUAAAGUACUUUCAGCGGGGAGGAAGGGAGUAAAGUUAAUACCUUUGCUCAUUGACGUUACCCGCAGAAGAAGCACCGGCUAACUCCGUGCCAGCAGCCGCGGUAAUACGGAGGGUGCAAGCGUUAAUCGGAAUUACUGGGCGUAAAGCGCACGCAGGCGGUUUGUUAAGUCAGAUGUGAAAUCCCCGGGCUCAACCUGGGAACUGCAUCUGAUACUGGCAAGCUUGAGUCUCGUAGAGGGGGGUAGAAUUCCAGGUGUAGCGGUGAAAUGCGUAGAGAUCUGGAGGAAUACCGGUGGCGAAGGCGGC
RNAcentral lists this ribosomal RNA (676 nucleotides) under uncultured bacterium. RNAcentral's name for it is "bacterial SSU rRNA". It matches the Rfam family "Bacterial small subunit ribosomal RNA", at positions 60 to 725 of the family's 1533-position model. The record is from RNAcentral.